CCUACGGGAGGCAGCAGUGGGGAAUAUUGCACAAUGGGGGAAACCCUGAUGCAGCGAUGCCGCGGGGAGGAAGAAGGUUUUCGGAUUGUAAACUCCUUUUAUCAGGGACGAUAAUGACGGUACCUGAAGAAAAAGCUCCGGCUAACUACGUGCCAGCAGCCGCGGUAAUACGGAGGAUGCGAGCGUUAUCCGGAUUUAUUGGGUUUAAAGGGUGCGUAGGCGGAAUGCCAAGUCAGCGGUAAAAUCGCGGGGCUCAACCUCGCUCCGCCGUUGAAACUGGCGUUCUUGAGUGGGCGAGAAGUAUGCGGAAUGCGUGGUGUAGCGGUGAAAUGCAUAGAUAUCACGCAGAACUCCGAUUGCGAAGGCAGCAUACCGGCGCCCAACUGACGCUGAAGCACGAAAGCGUGGGUAUCAAACAGGAUUAGAUACCCCUGUAGUC
This 439-nucleotide ribosomal RNA is filed under the name uncultured bacterium. RNAcentral's name for it is "partial 16S ribosomal RNA". It matches the Rfam family "Bacterial small subunit ribosomal RNA", at positions 338 to 795 of the family's 1533-position model. The record is from RNAcentral.